UGCUCGAUCUCGAUUUUUGAUUCUCUACUCUCCCUUUUUGACAGCAUCAAUUAAGAUCUUAAGGAAUUUUGAAGAGAGAAAAAAAAAGAUAACAUAAAGGACAUAUUUUCUCUACUCCCCCUUUUUGAUACCAUAUUUUAUUUCUUUACUCCCUCUCUUUUAUUAUUUAUUUCUCUACUCUCCCUCACUAUAGCAAUUAUAAAAGACAUAUCAAUUUGCUCAUUUAGAAGAUAUUGCUAUUCAUGAUAUUUCAUCACACAUAUAUGAGUCAUUUUUUAUAUCUUAUAAUUAAAAUAUUUUAAUUGAUCCCAUUCAUAAACAUUAAUCCAAAGACAUUCA
Molecule: long non-coding RNA, 339 nt
Filed under: Elaeis guineensis (African oil palm)
Lineage: Eukaryota; Viridiplantae; Streptophyta; Magnoliopsida; Arecales; Arecaceae
Description: long non-coding RNA (EGUI_LNC062516)
Source: RNAcentral